GAUGAAGAACGUAGCGAAAUGCGAUAAGUAGUGUGAAUUGCAGAAUUCAGUGAAUCAUCGAAUCUUUGAACGCACAUUGCGCCCGGCAGUAAUCUGCCGGGCAUGCCUGUCCGAGCGUCAUUUCUGCCCUCGAGCGAGUCCAGCAUCUAGGUGCUGGGCCCGCCCGGCGUUGGGGCACUACGGGAAGCCCUGUGCUGUCCCCCGUAGGCCCCGAAAUGAAGUGGCGGUCCUGCCGCGGCGCCCCCUGCGGAGUAUAACAGCUCGCUUCGGGACCCGGUGGAGGCCUGCCGUCAAACCUUACUCUCUAAGUUUGACCUCGGAUCAGGUAGGGUUACCCGCUGAACUUAAGCAUAUCAAUAAGCGGAGGA
This 368-nucleotide unclassified non-coding RNA is filed under the name soil metagenome. RNAcentral describes it as "partial contains 5.8S ribosomal RNA, internal transcribed spacer 2, and large subunit ribosomal RNA". The stretch from base 1 to 120 matches the Rfam family "5.8S ribosomal RNA", at positions 35 to 154 of the family's 154-position model. The record is from RNAcentral.